GAUGAACGCUAGCGGCAGGCUUAAUACAUGCAAGUCGAGGGGCAGCGGGGGUAGCAAUACCUGCCGGCGACCGGCAAACGGGUGCGGAACACGUACACAACCUUCCUUUAAGUGGGGGAUAGCCCAGAGAAAUUUGGAUUAAUACCCCGUAAGAUUAUGAGAUGGCAUCAUUUUAUAAAUUAAAGCUCCGGCGCUUAGAGAUGGGUGUGCGGCUGAUUAGGUAGUUGGUGUGGAACGGUCCACCAAGCCUUCGAUCAGUAACUGGUGUGAGAG
This 273-nucleotide ribosomal RNA is filed under the name uncultured bacterium. RNAcentral describes it as "partial 16S ribosomal RNA". It matches the Rfam family "Bacterial small subunit ribosomal RNA", at positions 28 to 298 of the family's 1533-position model. The record is from RNAcentral.